GGAUGUGAGGGCGAUCUGUCUGCGACAUCUGUCAUCCCAUAGACUGCCAGGGUUGAUUCGGCUGAUCUGGCUGGUUAGGCGGGUGUUUCCUUCCUCCCUCACCACUCCAUGUGCAUCCCUCCUGAACUACAUGCUUGGUCAGAAAGGACGACCUUCCUCAAUAGAAGAGGACCGUUCUCCAGUCAAGGGUAUAUGAGCAGCUGCGCUCCCCUGCUAGAACCUCCAAUCAAGCUCUAAUUGGAUAAAUCAUAACUCUGAGUAACUCUCCUGGCUUUAUAAAAUAAGCAAUCUCAGAUAUGUUAAACAUU
Molecule: small nuclear RNA, 308 nt
Filed under: Sus scrofa (pig)
Lineage: Eukaryota; Metazoa; Chordata; Mammalia; Artiodactyla; Suidae
Description: 7SK RNA (ENSSSCG00070014766.1)
Rfam family: 7SK RNA
About the family: 7SK was discovered as an abundant small nuclear RNA in the mid-70s but a possible function has only recently been suggested.
Source: RNAcentral